RNAcentral lists this ribosomal RNA (503 nucleotides) under uncultured crenarchaeote. RNAcentral's name for it is "bacterial SSU rRNA". It matches the Rfam family "Archaeal small subunit ribosomal RNA", at positions 1 to 480 of the family's 1478-position model. Lineage: Archaea; Thermoproteati; Thermoproteota. The record is from RNAcentral.
UUCCGGUUGAUCCCGCCGGACCCGACCGGUAUCGGGGUGGGGCUAAGCCAUGCAAGUCGUACGUCCUCCAGCCACGUGGGGGACGUGGCGCACGGCUCAGUAGUACGCAGCUAACCUACCCUAAGGAGGGGGAUAAUCCCGGGAAACUGGGGCUAAUCCCACAUAGACCUGGGGCACUGGAAGGUCCCUAGGUCGAAAUGGGUGGACUGGCAUGCCGGUUCACCUGCCUUAGGAUGGGGCUGCGUCCGAUCAGGUAGUUGGUGGGGUAAUGGCCCACCAAGCCUAUGACCGGUGCGGGCUCUGAGAGGAGGAGCCCGGAGAUGGACCCUGAGACAAGGGUCCAAGCCCUACGGGGCGCAGCAGGCGCGAAACCUUCGCAAUGCCCGAAAGGGUGACGAGGCUACCCCGAGUACCGUCCGCUAAGGACGGCUUUUGUCGGGUCUAAAAAGCCCGACGAAUAAGGGGAGGGCAAGUCUGGUGUCAGCCGCCGCGGUAAAACCAGC